CGGAGGGGGCUAGCGUUGUUCGGAAUUACUGGGCGUAAAGCGCACGUAGGCGGACCGGAAAGUCAGAGGUGAAAUCCCAGGGCUCAACCUUGGAACUGCCUUUGAAACUAUCGGUCUGGAGUUCGAGAGAGGUGAGUGGAAUUCCGAGUGUAGAGGUGAAAUUCGUAGAUAUUCGGAGGAACACCAGUGGCGAAGGCGGCUCACUGGCUCGAUACUGACGCUGAGGUGCGAAAGCGUGGGGAGCAAACAGGAUU
RNAcentral lists this ribosomal RNA (254 nucleotides) under uncultured bacterium. RNAcentral's name for it is "partial 16S ribosomal RNA". It matches the Rfam family "Bacterial small subunit ribosomal RNA", at positions 526 to 779 of the family's 1533-position model. The record is from RNAcentral.